AACGAACGCUGGCGGCAUGCCUAACACAUGCAAGUCGAACGAGACCUUCGGGUCUAGUGGCGCACGGGUGCGUAACACGUGGGAAUCUGCCCGUUGCUUCGGAAUAACAGUUAGAAAUGACUGCUAAUACCGGAUGAUGUCGAAAGACCAAAGAUUUAUCGGCAAAGGAUGAGCCCGCGUAGGAUUAGGUAGUUGGUGGGGUAAAGGCCUACCAAGCCGACGAUCCUUAGCUGGUCUGAGAGGAUGAUCAGCCACACUGGGACUGAGACACGGCCCAGACUCCUACGGGAGGCAGCAGUGGGGAAUAUUGGACAAUGGGCGAAAGCCUGAUCCAGCAAUGCCGCGUGAGUGAUGAAGGCCUUAGGGUUGUAAAGCUCUUUUACCAGGGAUGAUAAUGACAGUACCUGGAGAAUAAGCUCCGGCUAACUCCGUG
This 433-nucleotide ribosomal RNA is filed under the name uncultured bacterium. Its description in RNAcentral is "partial 16S ribosomal RNA". It matches the Rfam family "Bacterial small subunit ribosomal RNA", at positions 29 to 507 of the family's 1533-position model. The record is from RNAcentral.